Molecule: ribosomal RNA, 501 nt
Filed under: uncultured bacterium
Lineage: Bacteria
Description: partial 16S ribosomal RNA
Rfam family: Bacterial small subunit ribosomal RNA
Source: RNAcentral
AUUGAACGCUGGCGGCAGGCUUAACACAUGCAAGUCGAGCGGGGGAAGGUAGCUUGCUACUGGACCUAGCGGCGGACGGGUGAGUAAUGCUUAGGAAUCUGCCUAUUAGUGGGGGACAACGUCUCGAAAGGGAUGCUAAUACCGCAUACGUCCUACGGGAGAAAGCAGGGGAUCUUCGGACCUUGCGCUAAUAGAUGAGCCUAAGUCGGAUUAGCUAGUUGGUGGGGUAAAGGCCUACCAAGGCGACGAUCCGUAGCGGGUCUGAGAGGAUGAUCCGCCACACUGGGACUGAGACACGGCCCAGACUCCUACGGGAGGCAGCAGUGGGGAAUAUUGGACAAUGGGGGGAACCCUGAUCCAGCCAUGCCGCGUGUGUGAAGAAGGCCUUAUGGUUGUAAAGCACUUUAAGCGAGGAGGAGGCUACUCUAGUUAAUACCUAGGGAUAGUGGACGUUACUCGCAGAAUAAGCACCGGCUAACUCUGUGCCAGCCGCCGCGGUAA